AGUGAACGCUGGCGGUAGGCCUAACACAUGCAAGUCGAACGGCAGCACAGUAAUAGCUUGCUCUUACGGGUGGCGAGUGGCGGACGGGUGCGGAAUACAUCGGAAUCUACUUUUUCGUGGGGGAUAACGAAGGGAAACUUACGCUAAUACCGCAUACGACCUACGGGUGAAAGCAGUGGAUCUUCGGACCUUGCGCGAUUGAAUGAGCCGAUGUCGGAUUAGCUAGUUGGCGGGGUAAAGGCCCACCAAGGCGACGAUCCGUAGCUGGUCUGAGAGGAUGUUCGGCCACACUGGAACUGAGACACGGUCCAGACUCCGACGGGAGGCAGCAGUGGGGAAUAUUGGACAAUGGGCGCAAGCCUGAUCCAGCCAUACCGCGUGGGUGAAGAAGGCCUUCGGGUUGUAAAGCCCUUUUGUUGGGAAAGAAAAGCAGCAGGUUAAUACCCCGCUGUUCUGACGGUACCCAAAGAAUAAGCACCGGCUAACUUCGUG
Molecule: ribosomal RNA, 492 nt
Filed under: uncultured bacterium
Lineage: Bacteria
Description: partial 16S ribosomal RNA
Rfam family: Bacterial small subunit ribosomal RNA
Source: RNAcentral